GCCUGAUGCAGCAACGCCGCGUGAGGGAUGACGGCCUUCGGGUUGUAAACCUCUUUUAGUAGGGAAGAAGCGAAAGUGACGGUACCUGCAGAAAAAGCACCGGCUAACUACGUGCCAGCAGCCGCGGUAAUACGUAGGGUGCGAGCGUUGUCCGGAAUUAUUGGGCGUAAAGAGCUCGUAGGCGGUCUGUCGCGUCUGCUGUGAAAACCCGAGGCUCAACCUCGGGCCUGCAGUGGGUACGGGCAGACUAGAGUGCGGUAGGGGAGAAUGGAAUUCCUGGUGUAGCGGUGGAAUGCGCAGAUAUCAGGAGGAACACCGAUGGCGAAGGCAGUUCUCUGGGCCGUAACUGACGCUGAGGAGCGAAAGCGUGGGGAGCGAACAGGAUUAGAUACCCUGGUAGUCCACGCCGUAAACGUUGGGCGCUAGAUGUGGGGACCAUUCCACGGUUUCCGUGUCGCAGCUAACGCAUUAAGCGCCCCGCCUGGGGAGUACGGCCGCAAGGCUAAAACUCAAAGGAAUUGACGGGGGCCCGCACAAGCGGCGGAGCAUGCGGAUUAAUUCGAUGCAACGCGAAGAACCUUACCAAGGCUUGACAUACACGAGAACGGGCCAGAAAUGGUCAACUCUUUGGACACUCGUGAACAGGUGGUGCAUGGUUGUCGUCAGCUCGUGUCGUGAGAUGUUGGGUUAAGUCCCGCAACGAGCGCAACCCUCGUUCUAUGUUGCCAGCGCGUAAUGGCGGGAACUCAUAGGAGACUGCCGGGGUCAACUCGGAGGAAGGUGGGGAUGACGUCAAAUCAUCAUGCCCCUUAUGUCUUGGGCUUCACGCAUGCUACAAUGGCCGGUACAAAGGGCUGCAAUACCGUAAGGUGGAGCGAAUCCCAAAAAGCCGGUCUCAGUUCGGAUUGAGGUCUGCAACUCGAC
This 924-nucleotide ribosomal RNA is filed under the name Leifsonia xyli. RNAcentral describes it as "bacterial SSU rRNA". It matches the Rfam family "Bacterial small subunit ribosomal RNA", at positions 381 to 1316 of the family's 1533-position model. The record is from RNAcentral. Lineage: Bacteria; Bacillati; Actinomycetota; Actinomycetes; Micrococcales; Microbacteriaceae.